Molecule: ribosomal RNA, 425 nt
Filed under: uncultured bacterium
Lineage: Bacteria
Description: partial 16S ribosomal RNA
Rfam family: Bacterial small subunit ribosomal RNA
Source: RNAcentral
GUGGGGAAUCUUGCGCAAUGGGCGAAAGCCUGACGCAGCCAUGCCGCGUGAAUGAUGAAGGUCUUAGGAUUGUAAAAUUCUUUCACCGGGGACGAUAAUGACGGUACCCGGAGAAGAAGCUCCGGCUAACUUCGUGCCAGCAGCCGCGGUAAUACGAAGGGAGCUAGCGUUGCUCGGAAUUACUGGGCGUAAAGGGCGCGUAGGCGGACAGCUUAGUCAGAGGUGAAAGCCCAGGGCUCAACCUUGGAAUUGCCUUUGAUACUGGCUGUCUUGAGUGUGGGAGAGGUGAGUUGAACUCCGGGUGUAGAGGUGAAAUUCGUAGAUAUUCGGAAGAACACCAGUGGCGAAGGCGACUCACUGGCCCGUUACUGACGCUGAGGCGCGAAAGCGUGGGGAGCAAACAGGAUUAGAAACCCUUGUAGUCC